Magallana angulata is the source of this 646-nucleotide long non-coding RNA. RefSeq lists it as uncharacterized. The record is from RefSeq and is a predicted model, not a curated record. The transcript is spliced from 2 exons. NCBI's taxonomy places the organism in Eukaryota, Metazoa, Mollusca, Bivalvia, Ostreida, Ostreidae.
GCAGACACUUACGAUUUUAAUUUCCUUCCAAUAACGAUAGAUUGGCUGUUAUGUUGCUAUGUGCAAGUCACCUGCCUGUGACAAGACGGUUGGAUCUAGAAUUAUUCCCCGAUUCAUCAGCAACUCCCCUUUAAGAGGCGCGCACUUAGGAGCUUUCAUGCCAUCGGUUCUACGUGAUGGAUAAGCCAAUCAGAAGGUCGUUAGCUAUAUAAGCAGAGAGACCGUAGUGUGUUUCGCGUCCAGAUUCCUAGAACAACAAUCAAAGAACGUUUGAACGAAAGUCGCUAAGAGCUAGAAUGAAGUCUUUGAUUGUUCUUGCUGCCUUUACUGUAAUCUGCAGUGCCAAAUACAUAGUUGACGUAAAAGGAAAGCUACCUUGUCAACCUUGCGACCAAGAUGAGAUUCCGUUGAUACAGUUUAAGCUUUUGAAUCCAGUGUGUGGACCGUGUGGGGAAAUGUAUGGACCUUCUUUUGAAUAUUGCUGCAUGUGUGACCGUAAGAUCAGACGAGCAUGCGCAGAUGCCAUUCGGAAGUGAAGAAUGAAGAUACAUGUUCAUAAAAUUGAAAGCGAAGGAAUAUGUUUUAUCGAAAAUGUAUUUGAUCUCAUGUUACAGUGGCCAAUAAAGUUAUUUUUUAUUUAAUUGGA